GCGCCUGGGCCCGGCAGGUCCUGGGGAGCGCUGGGCGCCUGGGUGGGAGCCCCGCGGCCGGCCUCCCCCCCGCAAUGACUGCGGGAACCGCGCUGGAGGGGUGGCAGGCAGCAGGCAGCGGGGGAAGCGCUCCGUCGGGCGGGCCGAGAAGGAACGGAGCGUCCUGCACACUGAAGGAGUUGCACGGGAGGGGGCGCAGAGGCGGGAGUGACACCUGGACACCGGAGGGCCAAAGCGCGAAGGCCGUUGCUGCGAGAGAGGAAUCCACGGUGGGACGCGCGACCCAGCACGGGAAUGAUGGGCGCACGAGGGUGGUUCCGGCUUCAGGAGACCCUAGACGGGCUGCAGGCCGGGACCCAGGUGUGAGAGAAGCGGGAGUCUGGACUCCUAGGUUCUUGGUGGGUUCUGGAAGGACAGGGCUGGCUGGAGCAGGCGCUGGAUGGAGCAGGAUUAGCUGGAGACCGGGAAUUCGGGCAGUUAAGUUUAAGACGCACCCCGGGCAGCUCGGUGCAGGAGUUCCUGCCUAACCUGGGCAGGCCUUGGGUUUAACAAAGGACACGUUUAAGGUGCUAGUUAGACAUCCCAGUGGAAAUCUUUGAAAGACAUGACUUUGGAGGGACCCAAAUUCUGACUGGUACUCAGAGCCAGAUUCCCAAACUGUGUAGAGACUAGCUUUUUAGAAAACUUGAAAUCUGGGCCCCGUGGUGCACACCUGUAAUCCCACUGGCUGGGGAGGCUGAGGCAGGAGGAUGGCAAGUUCAAAGUCAGUUUAAGCAGGCGUGCGGGCGGCUGCGUCGGGCUGCAGGAGAAGAUGGCGGUCUCCACAGACAAAUUAUGAAAACAGAAUAUAUAGCCUGAAAGUAGAAUGUGGACCUAAAUACCCAGAAGCUCCUCCAUCCGUUAGAUUUGUAACAAAAAUUAAUAUGAAUGGAAUAAAUAAUUCCAGUGGAAUGGUGGAUGCACGAAGCAUACCAGUGUUAGCAAAAUGGCAAAAUUCAUAUAGCAUUAAAGUUGUACUUCAAGAGCUAAGACGUCUAAUGAUGUCCAAAGAAAAUACGAAGCUUCCACAGCCACCAGAAGGACAAACGUACAACAAUUAAUUUUAGUGAAUCUCAAACUUGUCUUAAAUCAACAACCUUCUACUCAUAUUAAUGUCUUGAUUAAAUAUCACAAUGCAAAAUUACCCACACAUUAAGUAAAAGAAUUCCAGCUGGUAAAACAUGACCCGGACAUUUGUAAGGAUAUAUUUAAUAUACGUACACCCAUUAUGUUUUCAGGUAACAGGAGGAAAAAUGCAGCACAAUUUUUCUUUCUUUUGUUAAGGCACUGUCAUUUAAACAUGAACCUGGAGUACUCGAAAUAGAAUUCAGGUUUACAAGAGGAAAGCAUGGCAAGAAGUGUCAGAUGCAUUGGAAACUUGCGUGUUUCUGAAAAGUAAAAUCUCAAGAAAGACAAACAGAAAUGGCAUGCUUUGUCCAUCUCGAUUAGUGAAAGAGCUGCAGUUGAAAUUGUUUAAGUAGCAGGUACAAUGAAUAUUGUCACAAAUUGUGGUAAUUUUUGAAUCGGUGUGGGUGCUGACUACUAGUAGUAUCAAAAAUAUGUUCAGGAUUGUUUUGAUACCUGUAUUUAUAAUAAAAAAUGUUGGGGGGGGGUCGAUGGAUUUCUGUUAAAAGCUGUUCCUGUGUGUUACAUGUAACAUGGUAAAUAUUUGUUUACAGUCUUUGUUUAAUAAACCAUGCAUUUAAGUUUAAGUGAAGUCAACAAAAAGGAAAUAGGUGUAUGGAUAUGUGAUUUUGAGAUUAAAGUUAGUCUUAAAAUGUAAAUAAAAUGUGGAACGUGUCCUCAAAAAACAAAAAAGUCAGUUUAAGCAACUAAAAAGGGCUGG
RNAcentral lists this long non-coding RNA (1885 nucleotides) under Marmota monax (woodchuck). Lineage: Eukaryota; Metazoa; Chordata; Mammalia; Rodentia; Sciuridae. The record is from RNAcentral.